UGUCCUCGGAUCAGGUAGGGAUACCCGCUGAACUUAA
This 37-nucleotide ribosomal RNA is filed under the name fungal sp. H1131. Its description in RNAcentral is "partial 28S ribosomal RNA". The record is from RNAcentral. Lineage: Eukaryota; Fungi.